Molecule: ribosomal RNA, 775 nt
Filed under: Brevibacillus agri
Lineage: Bacteria; Bacillati; Bacillota; Bacilli; Caryophanales; Paenibacillaceae
Description: bacterial SSU rRNA
Rfam family: Bacterial small subunit ribosomal RNA
Source: RNAcentral
GAACGGUGUAACACGGAGCUUGCUCUGUGGGAUCAGUGGCGAACGGGUGAGUAACACGUGAGCAACCUGCCCCUGACUCUGGGAUAAGCGCUGGAAACGGCGUCUAAUACUGGAUAUGUGACGUGACCGCAUGGUCUGCGUUUGGAAAGAUUUUUCGGUUGGGGAUGGGCUCGCGGCCUAUCAGCUUGUUGGUGAGGUAAUGGCUCACCAAGGCGUCGACGGGUAGCCGGCCUGAGAGGGUGACCGGCCACACUGGGACUGAGACACGGCCCAGACUCCUACGGGAGGCAGCAGUGGGGAAUAUUGCACAAUGGGCGGAAGCCUGAUGCAGCAACGCCGCGUGAGGGAUGACGGCCUUCGGGUUGUAAACCUCUUUUAGCAGGGAAGAAGCGAAAGUGACGGUACCUGCAGAAAAAGCGCCGGCUAACUACGUGCCAGCAGCCGCGGUAAUACGUAGGGCGCAAGCGUUAUCCGGAAUUAUUGGGCGUAAAGAGCUCGUAGGCGGUUUGUCGCGUCUGCUGUGAAAUCCCGAGGCUCAACCUCGGGCCUGCAGUGGGUACGGGCAGACUAGAGUGCGGUAGGGGAGAUUGGAAUUCCUGGUGUAGCGGUGGAAUGCGCAGAUAUCAGGAGGAACACCGAUGGCGAAGGCAGAUCUCUGGGCCGUAACUGACGCUGAGGAGCGAAAGGGUGGGGAGCAAACAGGCUUAGAUACCCUGGUAGUCCACCCCGUAAACGUUGGGAACUAGUUGUGGGGUCCAUUCCACGGAUUCCGUGA